UCCACACAGCCCGCCCUUUAACCAAACCCCACUCCCAAGGAGGACAAGCCAAGCCAAAGACAGCCUGGAUUGUUUAGAUUUUGAUAUCCCAUUUUGUGACAGAUACGGGAAGGGAGGGACCUUCCCAAGACAAUAUCACCUCUCCCAGAGUCGCAAGGACUAUAGUGACGGCCGUAGGACCUUCCCGAGAAGUUACGUCCCCCCGGAGAAUCUUUUCCAGCUCGUGCCGUCCAGCCGGACCAAGAGCUUCAACGGAGAUAACAAGCUCAUCACGUUGCGGUAUGAAGAUCGCGGGGGCACGAAGUGGUGGCGUAGCUGCGACAAGAUAUUCCAAGGCUUCGCCUCGUCUCCUGCCAAGACGAGAAACAGUAAGUGGUCUCCCGGCGGGUUGCUGCAGAAGGGGUUGAGGAGAUCGGAACAGAUCUGAGCUGAU
Long non-coding RNA from Sphaerodactylus townsendi, 433 nucleotides. RefSeq lists it as uncharacterized. Lineage: Eukaryota; Metazoa; Chordata; Lepidosauria; Squamata; Sphaerodactylidae. The transcript is spliced from 3 exons. The record is from RefSeq and is a predicted model, not a curated record.